Non-coding RNA from Merluccius polli (Benguela hake), 77 nucleotides. Lineage: Eukaryota; Metazoa; Chordata; Actinopteri; Gadiformes; Merlucciidae. The record is from the annotation of a GenBank genome assembly.
GAGGAUAUAGUCUAGCGGUGCUUAGGGGUGUUUGACCCCCAGUCGAAAGGUUCUGGGUUCGAACCCCAACAUCCACA